This is a long non-coding RNA of Dunckerocampus dactyliophorus (ringed pipefish), 2683 nucleotides long. RefSeq lists it as uncharacterized. The transcript is spliced from 9 exons. The record is from RefSeq and is a predicted model, not a curated record. Lineage: Eukaryota; Metazoa; Chordata; Actinopteri; Syngnathiformes; Syngnathidae.
UUGUGUUCAACAGUGAAGCUCACCAUUCCUCUCUUUGAUCACACGUAGGGCUUGAAGCUGCAGCUCCAUGUUCUUCUGAACCAUCAGCGAGCGAAACAUCUGGAAGUCAUCUGUGGCCAGGACUGGCUGGAACACCGACUAAACCAAAGAGAGGUAGCCGACGAUGCUCUCCACCACCCACUCGCUGUCGUCCUCGGCCAUGUUGGCUGCUGCUGCCGCCGGGGGAUGUCAGAGGCGGCAGGCCGGCAACAAGCUUCGCUUCUCCGGCCUGAGCGCGUGCAGCUCCUCUACGAGACGUAAGCCUGAGCCUUGGUGUUGUUGAAGUUGAGCUCCAGAGGUGAGUCCUUGUUGAAGAGGGCAAAGAGGCGCUUGGACCAGAAGGAGGGAAUGAAUUCUUUGGACUGCAGCCCCCAGUAGAUGUUGAACACCCUGUGGAGGUCUAACGCCAGACAGCUGCAAUUGUACACCAGCACGCCCAGCUCCUUCCUCUGUAUGUGGCCUUCGCUGGAAAAAGUUUGGACACCCCUGAGCUACGGUAUGUGUAUGCAUCAAAGAUUAGGUGAUCGUACUUGGUAUCCACUACAGUAUAUGUGUGUGUGCAUGUUACAUACAAUGGCCAGGGAUCUCCAAUCCAUGCUGCCACUGCCGAUGUAGAAGUGUCUCCUGUCGACCACCCAGAAGGAUGAGUGGAGGUGACCCUUGGUCAGCACUGUGGUGUUCACAAAGUGAACCUCUGCGCCUGCAACAAGCAUGAAGAGGGUGGCUGGCUGGAAGCUGGACUCGUAUUCGGAGGAGUUGAGGAGCCACAGCGGCGACACGAUCUCCACAACGCGGAUGGCUUGAUCCAGUCACCUGAGCAUGCUUACUGCAAACUCGGAGUCUUCACUGAAGCAGCCGGGCUAGUUGCUGGGACGCUCGGAGGAUGACAUUCAAUUUACAGGCCAGCGAAAUUGAUGUGCGACUGUGACUGAUGCAGCAGAUGCCAUUGUUACUGGGUCAGGCUGAACAGAAGUGACAACAUCGCUACAAAUCAGCAGUUUAGAAAUAGCCUACCUGAAGGCAAUCAGUGCAGUGCUGGUAUCGUUUACCUGCAAGCACCACACCAUAUUAGGCCUGAAAGAUCACCGACGUGCAGGAAAAGGCAGAAAAACAGCCACACGCUGGCUGAAUAGUCCUGCUGCUGCACGGCCGAAAUGAUGCUACUGGCAGGGAUCCCAGUGGCCGGGAUUCCGAACCCAAACCCCUUUAGGUCCUGCAGGCCAACCACCGGACCCCGUUUCCCUCGCUGAUCCAUGGUUCUGGAUGUCUCUGAUCUCACGGGAGGCAAUGGGGCGUACUUCUGAUUGUGGCAUGGCCGCACUUUUGGUUUCUUCUAUUCAUUGCGCAACUAAAGUGGUGAUUUAUCCUCCAGAAGUCUCUUGUGAUGGGAUGCUGAGGUAAAAAAAAAAAUGCAGUAGUUGCAAGAAUAGUCUGUAAAAAAUAUUCCUCAAUGGUGUCUUCAUGUAGCUUCAUGUCCCCAUGGAGUGUAGGACUGAACGCACGUUAGUCUGGACUGUAGGCUGAGCUAGACUCGCUUUUUAGCUGAGCACAACAGCACAUCAGCUUCAUCACACUGAUGAAGUUCCAGCGAGGCAUCCCCAGUGCGAGGGGGAGGGAGGGUUGAGACCAGGAGGGAGGGGUGGAGGAAGAGAACAAGAAAGUGCCUGAAAAGAAAUCGAGCGAGUGCGGGUUCAAGUGAUGGACACCCAUACUCUUGGCUUCAUUUUUUAAAUUGGAUUUUUAAAAUCACUUAUGCUAUUUUUGAAGAAAAAAGAGAAAACAUGAUGAAAUAUUUUGACAAUUAUUAGAAGGUCCUGACAAAAUUUUCAAUCAUAAAAUUGCAUUUAAUGAUAACUUUGGUUCUUUAAGUAGCUUAAAUUUGUUGCGCCUCUCGUGGUUUGGAGGUUUGAUGCCUUGCUGAAUUUGAAAUGUUAUUUUUUAAAGGUAUUUUACUGCUUUUAACACUUUACAUGACAAUUACAGAGAAAUGUAAACCUAUUUUUGAAAUGAAAUAAUUCAUUCAGUAAUUAUCAUCAUUUGUCUCCCGUUGUGUUUACUGUAAUUAUAACGUUUCCAAUAUCAUCCCUUCUCGUUGCCGAUCACAUGGUUCGAAAGUUUAAAAAAGUUUAAAUUGAACGAAAAUUGGGUUCAAAAUUCAGCUGUUAUGUGAUGCGUUGCAGCUCAAUUUUGUUAUGCCCUCUGGUGGUUUGGAGGUUUAAGGUUUUAAUGCCUUGCUUCGAAAAGAGUGAGACAGUUCAAGUGAGAGCCGCAAAAAUGCUCCGCUUUGUGAUUGAAAAAAAAAAUCUAGAACAAUUUUGAGGUAUUUUAUAAUCUAUUGUGAUAUGUUACAAGACUUUUAUACAUACAUAACUUACAAAAAAAAAUCUAUAUUUUUUUUCUUUGGCUACGAGCAAUGGCAUGGUUAUAAUACCAUAAACUAUAGUGAGGUUUAAGCUACCAAAUAUCACUUGCUUGCCCAAUAAAUGGGAAAUUCAGUCUUUUUCCAAAUACUGGAUAUAUUUUAUGGUACAUCUUAAAUCUGUUGGGCUCCUCGUAGGGUGGUAGGGGUGUCACGAGAGCUCGUGUCAUUUGAUCUUGCAAGAUUAAAACGUGACUAGAUUUCUCGUUCAGAAAAAAAAAGUCU